Molecule: long non-coding RNA, 421 nt
Filed under: Rattus norvegicus (Norway rat)
Lineage: Eukaryota; Metazoa; Chordata; Mammalia; Rodentia; Muridae
Description: long non-coding RNA NONRATT018799
Source: RNAcentral
AGCACAGGCAGAGGAAGAGCUGGCAGCACUUCGGGCAGAACUGCGGGGGCUGCGGGGGGCCCUGGCUACGGCUGAGGCCAAGCGUCAGGAGCUGGAGGAGACUCAAGUCAGUGUCACUCAGGAGAAGAAUGACCUGGCCCUGCAGCUGCAGGCAGUGAGUGUGACAGGGACAAGGACAUCCGGGUGGCCCGAAACCUUGGAAAGCAGACUGUGGCCAGGGCAGCCCUGGAGUGAUCUGGGCACUUCAACCUUCUGUGCUAUCUCCCUACUCUUGAAAUAAAUACCUGGAGAGGAGGCCCAAUGUCUGCCCAGCCUUCCCUGCAAGUUCAGGGACACACGGAUCUAUGAGGCAGAUAAUAGGGUCAUAUCCAGAGGGCAGGGGUCAAAGUCUGGAACUCCCCAACACAGUUCUUUUUAAUUU